This is a long non-coding RNA of Oryzias melastigma (Indian medaka), 1218 nucleotides long. RefSeq lists it as uncharacterized. NCBI's taxonomy places the organism in Eukaryota, Metazoa, Chordata, Actinopteri, Beloniformes, Adrianichthyidae. The transcript has 3 exons. The record is from RefSeq and is a predicted model, not a curated record.
GCCGUGCAGAAGCUGCGUGUGUUUGUGUUGUGAACGGUGUCACGAUGACCAGGCCUACUAAAGGAAGAUAUGUCGUAUGUGCAUCAAUCUUUGAAGAAGUUUGGAUUAUUUUCGUGGGAGAAACGGAGAGACACGGUACAGCUCUGGGAUGACGUCGUGAAGUGGACUGCAGCAGCAGUAGGCGGAGCUUUAGGAAUCGAAUCGUUUUACUUCCGGACGCUCCCACCCCGCAGACUGUCAUCCAAGGACAAGGCCAACAGAACAAACAACCACAGAAGGAGCGAUGCGCCAAGACAGGAGGGGAAGAGACGGGGAUUAACAUGACACCAGAAGAAGAUCCACCAUGGGGACCUUUUCUGUUGGAGACAGGGGUGUUGGCUCUUUGUUGUCUGGAGGGCUGAUGACCACAGAAUCAGGGACCGGGGAGUGAGCGGGUUUGGCUGAAAACCCCUGAGCGAUGUCGUCAAAGGUUCUGCCUUUCGUCUCAGGAACUCGCAGGUAAGUGAAAACGAAGAAGAGGAUGAGAAGGACCAUAAAGAUGAGGAAGACGUAAGGACCACAAAGUUCCUAAAAAGGGAAGGGAUACGUUUCAUAUUGAGAGUUUAAAUGUUUCUGUUGGAAUUCCAUCUGGAAAUGGGAAAAACAAACCUCUAGCUUGGGGAAACCCAGCCCGACUAGGAAGUUGGCGGUCCAGUUAGAGCAGCCGGCGACGGCCAUGGCGGCGGGUCGAGGACCCUGGGAGAAAAGCUCGGCCACGAUGAACCACGGGAUGGGACCUGGACCCAUCUCAAAACUGGCGACAAAGGCGAAGACGGCCACAAUUGCCAGAUAACUCAGAGACUGGUUCGUCUUCUGCUCAGAAAAUGACAGGAAUGAAGAAGAGAUUAUACUUUAUAACAGAAAGGAAAGCUUUUGGUGGAUUUAUAUCAGGUGUGGGCAAACUUUUUGACCUGUGAGCCACAAAAUUUGACAGAAGGGCUGAACUUGGAGCGUUUUGGUUUUUCAUUUCAUGAAAGAAAGAAAUAACAUGUAAUCUGGAGAAAAAUAUGCUUUUUAUAUUUUGAAACAGAACAUUUUAGAGUUUUUAUUUAAAAAUUGUGACUUAAGUUUCCAUUUUAGUGCCAUUCAUGGAUUGAUGUCAAUAAAGAAAAAUUUUGUGUGGUGUUGAAAUGAUUGGAAAAAGGCCAUCUGACUCUGAAAAUGCAAAGAAAAAAAAAA